RNAcentral lists this ribosomal RNA (497 nucleotides) under uncultured bacterium. Its description in RNAcentral is "partial 16S ribosomal RNA". It matches the Rfam family "Bacterial small subunit ribosomal RNA", at positions 28 to 507 of the family's 1533-position model. The record is from RNAcentral.
GAUGAACGCUGGCGGCGUGCCUAAUACAUGCAAGUCGAGCGAACGGACGAGAAGCUUGCUUCUCUGAUGUUAGCGGCGGACGGGUGAGUAACACGUGGAUAACCUACCUAUAAGACUGGGAUAACUUCGGGAAACCGGAGCUAAUACCGGAUGAUAUUUUGAACCGCAUGGUUCAAAAGUGAAAGACGGUCUUGCUGUCACUUAUAGAUGGAUCCGCGCUGCAUUAGCUAGUUGGUAAGGUAACGGCUUACCAAGGCAACGAUGCAUAGCCGACCUGAGAGGGUGAUCGGCCACACUGGAACUGAGACACGGUCCAGACUCCUACGGGAGGCAGCAGUAGGGAAUCUUCCGCAAUGGGCGAAAGCCUGACGGAGCAACGCCGCGUGAGUGAUGAAGGUCUUCGGAUCGUAAAACUCUGUUAUUAGGGAAGAACAUAUGUGUAAGUAACUGUGCACAUCUUGACGGUACCUAAUCAGAAAGCUACGGCUAACUACGUG